UGGCUAGACUCCUAAAUAUAUACAUAUAUGAGAAAAUAUAUGUAAUAAACCCUUAUUUUCUCAUAUAUGUAUAUAUUUAGGAGUCUAGCCAGUUCAUUC
Non-coding RNA from Pelobates cultripes (western spadefoot toad), 99 nucleotides. NCBI's taxonomy places the organism in Eukaryota, Metazoa, Chordata, Amphibia, Anura, Pelobatidae. The record is from the annotation of a GenBank genome assembly.